RNAcentral lists this ribosomal RNA (22 nucleotides) under Octaviania kobayasii. RNAcentral's name for it is "partial 18S ribosomal RNA". The record is from RNAcentral. Lineage: Eukaryota; Fungi; Basidiomycota; Agaricomycetes; Boletales; Boletaceae.
ACCUGCGGAAGGAUCAUUAACG